UAUUCUUCAGGUCCGUGCUGAUCGCAUACAACAUGAUCUUGAGGAGCUACUGAAGGCCUUGGUGGAUCGUUGCAAGAAACACGAGCUUAAUAUGAAGUCAACUGCGUUAAUUGAACUCCCCCCUGGCUGGCAACCUGGAAUUCCGGAGAUAUCAGCUGUUUGGGAUGAAGAUUGGGAUAAAUUCGAAGAUGAAGGAUUUUCUUUUGAUGUAGCUGUGCCUGAAAAUUCCAAAUCCACAUCUGUUCAGAAGGAAAGUUCUCCGACUCAUCGCGAAUCCUCUGAUUCUAUGUCAAAUGCUGAUGCCAAGUCAGAAAACCAUUCCGCUAAAGGAAACAAUAGUACUGUUGAGACUGAUUUGAUGUAUAUGCAUAGCGACGAAGAGUCAAAAAGUCCACAGGGAAGUCCACGAGAACAAACAGCAUUUGAUAGUCCUUCUGGUGAAUACUCUGAUAACCAUUUCGGCAAGAGCUUUAAAACGGAAUCUGAAACUGAUAGAUUUGAUGAACCUGGCUGGGGUACGUUUGACAAUAAUGAUGAUGUGGAUUCUGUUUGGGGCUUCAGUGCUAAGGAGUCGGAUCAUGUGAAGCAUGGAGAGAAACAUUUCUUUGACUCAACUGAUUUCGGUGCAAGUCCAACAAGGACAGAGUCUCCUGGGGCUGAAAGUAGAUACCAGAAGAAUAGCCCAUUUACCUUUGAGGAUUCAGUUCCUGGCUCACCACUUUCAAGAGCGGGAACUUCUCCUAGAUAUAGUGUAGGAUCAAAAGAUCCUUUCUUUGACAGUUUCUCAAGGUAUGAUUCCUUCAGUACAAAUGAUCGUGCAUCUUCCCCACGAAAGGAGACCCUCACGAGGUUCGACUCCAUAAAUAGUGCCAGUGGUUUUGAUCAUAGUCGAGGAUACUCAUUUGAUGACGCAGACCCAUUUGGAUCCAGUGGACCAUUUAAGGUCUCAUCUGAGAGUCAAAACACCAAGAAAAGUUCUGAUCAUUGGAGUUCGUUCUAGUUUGUGUUAUAUUUGAUUGCCAUUGGGCCAUUGUUCCUCGGCGUUUUCCAUGCCAUCUAUUUGCACGUGUGUGUUGUAUAGCCUAGAAGAUGCAGUUUAUAUUGGUUUUCCAAAUGUUUGAAGAAUCCCAGUGGUCUUCACGACGACAGAAAUCCAUUUUUCCAGGUUGAAGUAAUUUUAGUCAUGUUUUUUCUGCUUAGAGAGGGAAAAUGAGAAAAAGAAAGGGUUGGGUUUUGUAAUUCAUUUUUCGCUAUGUACUGUUCGAGAAUUGCAAUAUGUUUGUAUCACAGUUUUUUUGGUUUGGUAUCCUUGAUUGUAUCAAAUGGUUUGCCACUCGCAAUAAAUUUUUUCAUCGGUA
This 1358-nucleotide unclassified non-coding RNA is filed under the name Hevea brasiliensis (rubber tree). The record is from RNAcentral. Lineage: Eukaryota; Viridiplantae; Streptophyta; Magnoliopsida; Malpighiales; Euphorbiaceae.